AUGCAGAGCAAACCUCUGUGAUUCCUGCCCAGCACCUGUGAGGCCUGACGUGGUGGAGUGCAGUGGCACCAUCAUGGUUCUGUGCAGCCUUGACUUCUUGGGCUCAAGAGAUCCUCCCGCCUCAGCCUCCUGAAUAGCUAGGACCACAGCCACGUGCCACCACACCCAGCUAAUUUUUUGAUUUUUUGUAGACACUGUCUCACUGUGUUGCUCAGGCUGCAAGCUGGUGUUUCAAACAGAUGAAGUUGGAAAGUUCUUCAGUUUCUCCAGAGUU
This 274-nucleotide small RNA is filed under the name Pongo abelii (Sumatran orangutan). RNAcentral describes it as "processed transcript". Lineage: Eukaryota; Metazoa; Chordata; Mammalia; Primates; Hominidae. The record is from RNAcentral.